Molecule: transfer RNA, 75 nt
Organism: Halostagnicola larsenii XH-48
Lineage: Archaea; Methanobacteriati; Methanobacteriota; Halobacteria; Halobacteriales; Natrialbaceae
Rfam family: tRNA
About the family: Transfer RNA (tRNA) molecules are approximately 80 nucleotides in length. Their secondary structure includes four short double-helical elements and three loops (D, anti-codon, and T loops).
Source: Rfam
GCUCCGUUGGUGUAGUCCGGCCAAUCAUUUCGGCCUUUCGAGCCGAUGACCAGGGUUCAAAUCCCUGACGGAGCA